AGAGAGACUGCCGGUGGAGUAAACCGGAGGAAGGUGGGGAGUGACGUCAAAUCAUCAUGCCCCUUAUGGCCUGGGCUACAAACGUAAUACAAUGGCGUAUACAAAGGGAUGCGAAAGGGCGACCUGGAGCAAAACUCACAAAGUACGUCUCAGUUCAGAUUGGAGUCUGCAACUCGACUCCAUGAAGGCGGAAUCGCUAGUAAUCGCGGAUCAGCAUGCCGCGGUGAAUACGUUCUCGGGGUUU
RNAcentral lists this ribosomal RNA (244 nucleotides) under uncultured Erysipelothrix sp. RNAcentral's name for it is "partial 16S ribosomal RNA". It matches the Rfam family "Bacterial small subunit ribosomal RNA", at positions 1142 to 1382 of the family's 1533-position model. The record is from RNAcentral. Lineage: Bacteria; Bacillati; Bacillota; Erysipelotrichia; Erysipelotrichales; Erysipelotrichaceae.